This 216-nucleotide ribosomal RNA is filed under the name Glomeromycotina sp. RNAcentral describes it as "partial small subunit ribosomal RNA". The stretch from base 40 to 216 matches the Rfam family "Eukaryotic small subunit ribosomal RNA", at positions 686 to 864 of the family's 1831-position model. Lineage: Eukaryota; Fungi; Glomeromycota. The record is from RNAcentral.
GGGUCAUUAGGUUGGUCGUGCCACCGGUACGUACUGGUCUCACUGAUUCCUCCUUCCUGAAGAACCGUAAUGCCAUUAAUUUGGUGUUGCGGGGAAACAGGACUGUUACUUUGAAAAAAUUAGAGUGUUUAAAGCAAGCUAACGCUUGAAUACAUUAGCAUGGAAUAAUGAAAUAGGACGAUCGAUCCUAUUUUGUUGGUUUCUAGGAUUGACUUA